RNAcentral lists this ribosomal RNA (500 nucleotides) under uncultured bacterium. Its description in RNAcentral is "partial 16S ribosomal RNA". It matches the Rfam family "Bacterial small subunit ribosomal RNA", at positions 30 to 523 of the family's 1533-position model. The record is from RNAcentral.
AUUGAACGCUGGCGGAAUGCUUUACACAUGCAAGUCGAACGGCAGCACGGGGGCAACCUUGGUGGCGAGUGGCGAACGGGUGAGUAACACAUCGGAACAUGCCCAGUCGUGGGGGAUAACGUAGCGAAAGUUACGCUAAUACCGCAUACGAUCUAAGGAUGAAAGCGGGGGACCGUAAGGCCUCGCCGGAUUGGAGUGGCCGAUGCCAGAUUAGGUAGUUGGUGGGGUAAAGGCUCACCAAGCCAACGAUCUGUAGCUGGUCUGAGAGGACGACCAGCCACACUGGGACUGAGACACGGCCCAGACUCCUACGGGAGGCAGCAGUGGGGAAUUUUGGACAAUGGGCACAAGCCUGAUCCAGCCAUUCCGCGUGCAGGACGAAGGCCUUCGGGUUGUAAACUGCUUUUGUACGGAGCGAAAAGCCUUGGGUUAAUACCUCGGGGUCAUGACGGUACCGUAAGAAUAAGCACCGGCUAACUACGUGCCAGCAGCCGCGGUAA